UGUUAUGAUUUUAGUUUGCC
RNAcentral lists this non-coding RNA (20 nucleotides) under Arabidopsis thaliana (thale cress). The record is from RNAcentral. Lineage: Eukaryota; Viridiplantae; Streptophyta; Magnoliopsida; Brassicales; Brassicaceae.